RNAcentral lists this ribosomal RNA (2714 nucleotides) under Klebsiella pneumoniae. RNAcentral's name for it is "partial 23S ribosomal RNA". It matches the Rfam family "Bacterial large subunit ribosomal RNA". The record is from RNAcentral. Lineage: Bacteria; Pseudomonadati; Pseudomonadota; Gammaproteobacteria; Enterobacterales; Enterobacteriaceae.
AGCCGGCGAUGUCCGAAUGGGGAAACCCAGUGCAAUUCGUUGCACUAUCGUUAACUGAAUACAUAGGUUAACGAGGCGAACCGGGGGAACUGAAACAUCUAAGUACCCCGAGGAAAAGAAAUCAACCGAGAUUCCCCCAGUAGCGGCGAGCGAACGGGGAGCAGCCCAGAGUCUGAAUCAGCUUGUGUGUUAGUGGAACGGUCUGGAAAGUCCGACGGUACAGGGUGAUAGUCCCGUACACCAAAAUGCACAGGCUGUGAACUCGAAGAGUAGGGCGGGACACGUGGUAUCCUGUCUGAAUAUGGGGGGACCAUCCUCCAAGGCUAAAUACUCCUGACUGACCGAUAGUGAACCAGUACCGUGAGGGAAAGGCGAAAAGAACCCCGGCGAGGGGAGUGAAAAAGAACCUGAAACCGUGUACGUACAAGCAGUGGGAGCACCUUCGGGUGUGACUGCGUACCUUUUGUAUAAUGGGUCAGCGACUUAUAUUCUGUAGCAAGGUUAACCGUAUAGGGGAGCCGCAGGGAAACCGAGUCUUAACUGGGCGUUAAGUUGCAGGGUAUAGACCCGAAACCCGGUGAUCUAGCCAUGGGCAGGUUGAAGGUUGGGUAACACUAACUGGAGGACCGAACCGACUAAUGUUGAAAAAUUAGCGGAUGACUUGUGGCUGGGGGUGAAAGGCCAAUCAAACCGGGAGAUAGCUGGUUCUCCCCGAAAGCUAUUUAGGUAGCGCCUCGUGAAUUCAUCUUCGGGGGUAGAGCACUGUUUCGGCUAGGGGGUCAUCCCGACUUACCAACCCGAUGCAAACUACGAAUACCGAAGAAUGUUAUCACGGGAGACACACGGCGGGUGCUAACGUCCGUCGUGAAGAGGGAAACAACCCAGACCGCCAGCUAAGGUCCCAAAGUCAUGGUUAAGUGGGAAACGAUGUGGGAAGGCACAGACAGCCAGGAUGUUGGCUUAGAAGCAGCCAUCAUUUAAAGAAAGCGUAAUAGCUCACUGGUCGAGUCGGCCUGCGCGGAAGAUGUAACGGGGCUAAACCAUGCACCGAAGCUGCGGCAGCGACACUAUGUGUUGUUGGGUAGGGGAGCGUUCUGUAAGCCUGCGAAGGUGUGCUGUGAGGCAUGCUGGAGGUAUCAGAAGUGCGAAUGCUGACAUAAGUAACGAUAAAGCGGGUGAAAAGCCCGCUCGCCGGAAGACCAAGGGUUCCUGUCCAACGUUAAUCGGGGCAGGGUGAGUCGACCCCUAAGGCGAGGCCGAAAGGCGUAGUCGAUGGGAAACAGGUUAAUAUUCCUGUACUUGGUGUUACUGCGAAGGGGGGACGGAGAAGGCUAUGUUAGCCGGGCGACGGUUGUCCCGGUUUAAGCAUGUAGGCUGGUUAUCCAGGCAAAUCCGGAUAAUCAAGGCUGAGGUGUGAUGACGAGGCACUACGGUGCUGAAGUAACAAAUGCCCUGCUUCCAGGAAAAGCCUCUAAGCAUCAGGUAACAUCAAAUCGUACCCCAAACCGACACAGGUGGUCAGGUAGAGAAUACCAAGGCGCUUGAGAGAACUCGGGUGAAGGAACUAGGCAAAAUGGUGCCGUAACUUCGGGAGAAGGCACGCUGGUGUGUAGGUGAAGUCCCUGCGGAUGGAGCUGAGACCAGUCGAAGAUACCAGCUGGCUGCAACUGUUUAUUAAAAACACAGCACUGUGCAAACACGAAAGUGGACGUAUACGGUGUGACGCCUGCCCGGUGCCGGAAGGUUAAUUGAUGGGGUUAUCCGUAAGGAGAAGCUCUUGAUCGAAGCCCCGGUAAACGGCGGCCGUAACUAUAACGGUCCUAAGGUAGCGAAAUUCCUUGUCGGGUAAGUUCCGACCUGCACGAAUGGCGUAAUGAUGGCCAGGCUGUCUCCACCCGAGACUCAGUGAAAUUGAACUCGCUGUGAAGAUGCAGUGUACCCGCGGCAAGACGGAAAGACCCCGUGAACCUUUACUAUAGCUUGACACUGAACAUUGAGCCUUGAUGUGUAGGAUAGGUGGGAGGCUUUGAAGCGUGGACGCCAGUCUGCGUGGAGCCAACCUUGAAAUACCACCCUUUAAUGUUUGAUGUUCUAACGUUGGCCCCUUACCGGGGUUGCGGACAGUGUCUGGUGGGUAGUUUGACUGGGGCGGUCUCCUCCCAAAGCGUAACGGAGGAGCACGAAGGUUAGCUAAUCCUGGUCGGACAUCAGGAGGUUAGUGCAAUGGCAUAAGCUAGCUUGACUGCGAGCGUGACGGCGCGAGCAGGUGCGAAAGCAGGUCAUAGUGAUCCGGUGGUUCUGAAUGGAAGGGCCAUCGCUCAACGGAUAAAAGGUACUCCGGGGAUAACAGGCUGAUACCGCCCAAGAGUUCAUAUCGACGGCGGUGUUUGGCACCUCGAUGUCGGCUCAUCACAUCCUGGGGCUGAAGUAGGUCCCAAGGGUAUGGCUGUUCGCCAUUUAAAGUGGUACGCGAGCUGGGUUUAGAACGUCGUGAGACAGUUCGGUCCCUAUCUGCCGUGGGCGCUGGAGAAUUGAGGGGGGCUGCUCCUAGUACGAGAGGACCGGAGUGGACGCAUCACUGGUGUUCGGGUUGUCAUGCCAAUGGCACUGCCCGGUAGCUAAAUGCGGAAGAGAUAAGUGCUGAAAGCAUCUAAGCACGAAACUUGCCCCGAGAUGAGUUCUCCCUGAGACUUUAAGUCUCCUGAAGGAACGUU